Molecule: ribosomal RNA, 237 nt
Filed under: uncultured bacterium
Lineage: Bacteria
Description: partial 16S ribosomal RNA
Rfam family: Bacterial small subunit ribosomal RNA
Source: RNAcentral
GGCGAACGGGUGAGUAACACAUAAGUAAUCUACCCCUGAGUGGGGAAUAACCCCGGGAAACCGAGGUUAAUACCGCAUGUGAUGGUGAGAUGUUGGUCUCGCUAUUAAAGCCGUAAGGCGCUUGGGGAGGAGCUUGUGUCCGAUUAGCUAGUUGGUGGGGUAAAGGCUCGCCAAGGUUAUGAUCGGUAGCUGGUCUGAGAGGACGAGCAGCCACACUGGGACUGAGACACGGCCCAG